RNAcentral lists this ribosomal RNA (253 nucleotides) under uncultured bacterium. Its description in RNAcentral is "partial 16S ribosomal RNA". It matches the Rfam family "Bacterial small subunit ribosomal RNA", at positions 524 to 776 of the family's 1533-position model. The record is from RNAcentral.
UACGUAGGUGGCAAGCGUUGUCCGGAUGUAUUGGGUUUAAAGGGUGCGUAGGCGGUUCCAUAAGUCAGUGGUGAAAUACGGCAGCUCAACUGUCGAGGUGCCAUUGAUACUGCGGAACUUGAGUACUGAUGAGGUAGGCGGAAUUGACGGUGUAGCGGUGAAAUGCUUAGAUAUCGUCAAGAACACCGAUAGCGAAGGCAGCUUACUAAGGAGUAACUGACGCUGAGGCACGAAAGUGCGGGGAUCAAACAGG